GAUGAACGCUGGCGGCGUGCCUAAUACAUGCAAGUCGAGCGAACAGAUGAGGAGCUUGCUCCUCUGACGUUAGCGGCGGACGGGUGAGUAACACGUGGAUAACCUACCUAUAAGACUGGGAUAACUUCGGGAAACCGGAGCUAAUACCGGAUAAUAUAUUGAACCGCAUGGUUCAAUAGUGAAAGACGGUUUUGCUGUCACUUAUAGAUGGAUCCGCGCCGCAUUAGCUAGUUGGUAAGGUAACGGCUUACCAAGGCAACGAUGCGUAGCCGACCUGAGAGGGUGACCGCCCCAACUGGAAGUAGGACCAGGCCCAGCUCCCUAGGGGGGGCGGAAGGAGGGAAUUUUCCGAAAGGGGGGAAAGCUUAACGGAGCACCGCGGGGUGGGGAAGGAAGUCCUUGGGAUGGAAAAAUUCUUUUUUUGGGGAAAAAAAAAUGUGAAAGAAAUUAUGCACGUUUUGACGGUACCUAAGCAAAAAGCCACGGCUAACUACG
RNAcentral lists this ribosomal RNA (495 nucleotides) under uncultured bacterium. Its description in RNAcentral is "partial 16S ribosomal RNA". It matches the Rfam family "Bacterial small subunit ribosomal RNA", at positions 28 to 505 of the family's 1533-position model. The record is from RNAcentral.